RNAcentral lists this ribosomal RNA (253 nucleotides) under uncultured bacterium. RNAcentral describes it as "partial 16S ribosomal RNA". It matches the Rfam family "Bacterial small subunit ribosomal RNA", at positions 524 to 776 of the family's 1533-position model. The record is from RNAcentral.
UACGUAGGGUGCGAGCGUUAAUCGGAAUUACUGGGCGUAAAGCGUGCGCAGGCGGUUCGUUAAGUUCGUUGUGAAAGCCCCGGGCUCAACCUGGGAACUGCAAUGGAAACUGGCGGGCUUGAAUGCGGCAGAGGGGGGUGGAAUUCCGCGUGUAGCAGUGAAAUGCGUAGAGAUGCGGAGGAACACCGAUGGCGAAGGCAGUUCUCUGGGCCGUAACUGGCGCUGAGGAGCGAAAGCGUGGGGAGCGAACAGG